RNAcentral lists this ribosomal RNA (433 nucleotides) under uncultured bacterium. RNAcentral describes it as "partial 16S ribosomal RNA". It matches the Rfam family "Bacterial small subunit ribosomal RNA", at positions 29 to 507 of the family's 1533-position model. The record is from RNAcentral.
AACGAACGCUGGCGGCAUGCCUAACACAUGCAAGUCGAACGAGACCUUCGGGUCUAGUGGCGCACGGGUGCGUAACGCGUGGGAACCUGCCCUUAGGUUCGGAAUAACUCCCCGAAAGGGGUGCUAAUACCGGAUAAUGUCUUCGGACCAAAGAUUUAUCGCCUUUGGAUGGGCCCGCGUUGGAUUAGCUAGUUGGUAGGGUAAAAGCCUACCAAGGCGACGAUCCAUAGCUGGUCUGAGAGGAUGAUCAGCCACACUGGGACUGAGACACGGCCCAGACUACUACGGGAGGGAGCAGUGGGGAAUAUUGGACAAUGGGCGAAAGCCUGAUCCAGCAAUGACGCGUGAGUGAUGAAGGCCUUAGGGUUGUAAAGCUCUUUUACCCGGGAUGAUAAUGACAGUACCGGGAGAAUAAGCUCCGGCUAACUCCGUG